UGCUUUAUUUGGGAGCCAUUGCCUUGAGC
Molecule: non-coding RNA, 29 nt
Filed under: Homo sapiens (human)
Lineage: Eukaryota; Metazoa; Chordata; Mammalia; Primates; Hominidae
Source: RNAcentral